Molecule: non-coding RNA, 147 nt
Filed under: Nomascus leucogenys (northern white-cheeked gibbon)
Lineage: Eukaryota; Metazoa; Chordata; Mammalia; Primates; Hylobatidae
Source: Rfam by way of RNAcentral
GCUGGGCAUGGUGGUGCAUGCCUGUAAUCCCAGUUACUCGGGAGGCUGAGGCAGGAGAAUAGCUUGAACCAGGGAGUCGGAGGUUGCAGUGAACCGAGAUCGUGCCACUGCACUCCAGCCUGGUAAGAGAGCAAGACUCUGUCUCAA